UACGUAGGGUGCUAACGUUGUUCGGAAUCACUGGGCAUAAAGCGCGCGUAGGCGGUCCAAUAAGUCUUUUGUGAAAGCCCUCGGCCUAACCGAGGAACUGCAUUGGAUACUGUUGGGCUAGAGUGCAGGAGGGGAGAGCGGAAUUCCUGGUGGAGCGGUGAAAUGCGUAGAUAUCAGGAGGAACGCCGGCGGCGAAAGCGGCUCUCUGGUCUGUUACUGACGCUGAGGCGCGAAAGCUAGGGGAGCAAACGGG
Molecule: ribosomal RNA, 253 nt
Filed under: uncultured bacterium
Lineage: Bacteria
Description: partial 16S ribosomal RNA
Rfam family: Bacterial small subunit ribosomal RNA
Source: RNAcentral